UACGGGGGGAGCAAGCGUUGUUCGGAUUUACUGGGCGUAAAGGGCGCGUAGGCGGCGCAACAAGUCACUUGUGAAAUCUCCGGGCUUAACCCGGAGCGGCCAAGUGAUACUGUCGUGCUAGAGUGCGGAAGGGGCUACUGGAAUUCUCGGUGUAGCGGUGAAAUGCGUAGAUAUCGAGAGGAACACCUGCGGCGAAGGCGGCUCUCUGGGACGGUACUGACGCUGAGACGCGAAAGCGUGGGGAGCGAACAGG
RNAcentral lists this ribosomal RNA (253 nucleotides) under uncultured bacterium. Its description in RNAcentral is "partial 16S ribosomal RNA". It matches the Rfam family "Bacterial small subunit ribosomal RNA", at positions 524 to 776 of the family's 1533-position model. The record is from RNAcentral.